Sorex fumeus (smoky shrew) is the source of this 125-nucleotide small nucleolar RNA. RefSeq annotates it as small nucleolar RNA SNORA40. The transcript has a single exon. NCBI's taxonomy places the organism in Eukaryota, Metazoa, Chordata, Mammalia, Eulipotyphla, Soricidae. The record is from RefSeq and is a predicted model, not a curated record.
CUUAUCUGUGUGGGUGUUUGUCUGACACAUGAACAAGACUUUGAGAGAGGUGCAAAAACAAAUCCUCUUUUGCAACUCAGAAUUCAUUGUUCUGUAUGAAUUCUAAUACAGAUGAAAGAAACAUG